This 130-nucleotide ribosomal RNA is filed under the name Streptosporangium minutum. RNAcentral describes it as "partial 16S ribosomal RNA". It matches the Rfam family "Bacterial small subunit ribosomal RNA", at positions 1 to 132 of the family's 1533-position model. RNAcentral also lists the same sequence under 1 other name. The record is from RNAcentral. Lineage: Bacteria; Bacillati; Actinomycetota; Actinomycetes; Streptosporangiales; Streptosporangiaceae.
UUGUUUGGAGAGUUUGAUCCUGGCUCAGGACGAACGCUGGCGGCGUGCUUAACACAUGCAAGUCGAGCGGAAAGGCCCUUCGGGGUACUCGAGCGGCGAACGGGUGAGUAACACGUGAGUAACCUGCCCC